This 254-nucleotide ribosomal RNA is filed under the name uncultured bacterium. Its description in RNAcentral is "partial 16S ribosomal RNA". It matches the Rfam family "Bacterial small subunit ribosomal RNA", at positions 524 to 776 of the family's 1533-position model. The record is from RNAcentral.
GACGAACCGUGCGAACGUUAUUCGGAAUCACUGGGCUUAAAGCGCGUGUAGGCGGGACGGCACGUCUGUCGCUGAAAUCCCCCGGCUCAACCGGGGAACGGGCGCGGAUACGACCGUCCUGGAGGGGCGUAGGGGGACCUGGAACUUCCGGUGGAGCGGUGAAAUGCGUAGAUAUCGGAAGGAACAUCAGUGGCGAAGGCGACUUUCUGGACAAAUACUGACACUGAGGCACGAAAGCAUGGGGAGCAAACAGG